UACAGAGGUGGCAAGCGUUGUUCGGAAUUACUGGGCGUAAAGGGCGCGUAGGCGGCCUUCUAAGUCAGACGUGAAAUCCCCCGGCUUAACCUGGGAACUGCGUCUGAUACUGGUUGGCUUGAAUCCGGGAGAGGGAUGUGGAAUUCCAGGUGUAGCGGUGAAAUGCGUAGAUAUCUGGAGGAACACCGGUGGCGAAGGCGGCAUCCUGGACCGGUAUUGACGCUGAGGAGCGAAAGCCAGGGGAGCAAACGGG
RNAcentral lists this ribosomal RNA (253 nucleotides) under uncultured bacterium. RNAcentral describes it as "partial 16S ribosomal RNA". It matches the Rfam family "Bacterial small subunit ribosomal RNA", at positions 524 to 776 of the family's 1533-position model. The record is from RNAcentral.